UGACUCUAGAGUGCUUCCCGGCUUUCUUACUUAACCAACGGAUCUCAGAGUUGUGUCGCAGGUUCAUAACACUAAUGGGCAGAGGACAAACAGCUAUCCAUGCCUUCAUUUUCGCGCCAAUGAUGUUUGGAGAUCAAAAGAGGGUAUCAUCAUCAUUCAACCCUCCAAUAUUGUAUUUGAUCACUUGAUUAUAGGCAUUCUCUCAUUCUUGCAACUAAUUUUCCCCACUCCUUUUCUUCACCUCACUGGCCUUUGAUGGCUUCAAGAAUUGCACAAUAAUCUCUAACUUCUAUUGUCAAGAUGUGGGUACUAGAUGAUUCUUCAGGCAGUUUCCUAUUACAAGAAUCCAUCAAUAUGAAGUUUAUCAGAUUCUGCAGCCCUGGAUUCAAGCUCUCGAUUCUCUCCAAGAUGGGUGAAGAUAGCAUCCUAUCAUUCAAAAGAAUUCAUUCAAUGGACUCAUAACUAGUCAAUGUGGGGAUAUUUAGUGUUCACAAUAGAAUAUGUUAACCAAUUCAAUUGAUCCUAGCUAGAGCUGAUCAGAGGGAUUUUAUGAGCAUUUUAUACCUUUUAUUGUUCAUCUAAUGCUAUCCAAUAUUAAAUCUUGUUCAAGUGGUAGAUUUGGCGGAACUUGAUAUUCAGAAUAACGGAAUCCAGCUUGAGGAGUAUUUAGUGACUGUAUACUUUUUAUUUAAGAAACAAAUAAGUC
This 706-nucleotide small RNA is filed under the name Histoplasma capsulatum. RNAcentral's name for it is "hypothetical RNA". The record is from RNAcentral. RNAcentral also lists the same sequence under 1 other name. Lineage: Eukaryota; Fungi; Ascomycota; Eurotiomycetes; Onygenales; Ajellomycetaceae.